Molecule: ribosomal RNA, 253 nt
Filed under: uncultured bacterium
Lineage: Bacteria
Description: partial 16S ribosomal RNA
Rfam family: Bacterial small subunit ribosomal RNA
Source: RNAcentral
UACAGAGGUCUUAAGCGUUGUUCGGAAUUACUGGGCGUAAAGGGUGCGCAGGCCGCGCGGGCAGUCAAAUGUGUAAUUCAGGGGCUCAACCCCUGCACUGCGCUUGAUACUUCCGCGCUCGAACCUUGAAGAGGAGUCUGGAAUUCUCGGUGUAGCAGUGAAAUGCGUGGAUAUCGAGAAGAACACUUAGGGCGAAAGCAAGACUCUGGACAAGUGUUGACGCUCAUGCACGAAGGCUAGGGUAGCGAACGGG